RNAcentral lists this ribosomal RNA (460 nucleotides) under uncultured bacterium. Its description in RNAcentral is "partial 16S ribosomal RNA". It matches the Rfam family "Bacterial small subunit ribosomal RNA", at positions 338 to 795 of the family's 1533-position model. The record is from RNAcentral.
CCUACGGGAGGCAGCAGUGAGGAAUAUUGGUCAAUGGACGAAAGUCUGAACCAGCCAAGUAGCGUGAAGGAUGACUGCCCUAUGGGUUGUAAACUGCUUUUAUAUGGGAAUAAAACGUUCCACGUGUGGGAUUUUGUAUGUACCAUAUGAAUAAGGAUCGGCUAACUCCGUGCCAGCAGCCGCGGUAAUACGGAGGAUCCGAGCGUUAACCGGAUUUAUUGGGUUUAAAGGGAGCGUAGGUGGAAUGUUAAGUCAGUUGUGAAAGUUUGCGGCUCAACCGGAAAAUUGCAGUUGAAACUGGCAGUCUUGAGUACAGUAGAGGUGGGCGGAAUUCGUGGUGUAGCGGUGAAAUGCUUAGAUAUCACGAAGAACUCCGAUUGCGAAGGCAGUUCACUGGACUGCAACUGACACUGAGGCUCGAAAGUGUGGGUAUCAAACAGGAUUAGAUACCCCUGUAGUC